Molecule: long non-coding RNA, 5526 nt
Organism: Gasterosteus aculeatus aculeatus (three-spined stickleback)
Lineage: Eukaryota; Metazoa; Chordata; Actinopteri; Perciformes; Gasterosteidae
Source: Ensembl
AGUGGUGUAGUGGUUAGCACUCUCGCCUCCCAGACAGAUGCCUCGGGUUCAACUCCACCCAGUGGUGCCUCUGUGUUAGGUGGUGUAGGCUAAGCCUGCAUGGGAUUCACUCCAUACUUGUAAAAGUAAUGGAAAAAAGUUUUUUAAAACUUCCGCAUCUGAAAAGAAUCCCCAAAUAUUUUGCAAAAAGUCAUGAAAUUCUAUCUUUAGUCAUAUGAAGGGGGACGCCGGUGAGAAAACGUACUUUUGAAUAAAAAUCUGAAUUUUUUCUGAAUUGGAGUCAUAUGACAUUCUAAUGGCAGCAGUUGACACGGUACAGUGGUGUAGUGGUUAGCACUCUCGCCUCCCAGACAGAUGCCUCGGGUUCAACUCCACCCAGUGGUGCCUCUGUGUUAGGUGGUGUAGGCUAAGCCUGCAUGGGAUUCACUCCAUACUUGUAAAAGUAAUGGAAAAAAGUUUUUUAAAACUUCCGCAUCUGAAAAGAAUCCCCUAAAUAUUUUGCAAAAAGUCAUGAAAUUCUAUCUUUAGUCAUAUGAAGGGGGACGCCGGUGAGAAAACGUACUUUUGAAUAAAAAUCUGAAUUUUUUCUGAAUUGGAGUCAUAAGACAUUCUAAUGGCAGCAGUUGACACGGUACAGUGGUGUAGUGGUUAGCACUCUCGCCUCCCAGACAGAUGCCUCGGGUUCAACUCCACCCAGUGGUGCCUCUGUGUUAGGUGGUGUAGGCUAAGCCUACAUGGGAUUCACUCCACACUUGUAAAAGUAAUGGAAAAAAGUUUUUUUAAAACUUCCGCAUCUGAAAAGAUCCCAAAUAUUUUGCAAAAAGUCAUGAAAUUCUAUCUUAGUCAUAUGAAGGGGGACGCCGGUGAGAAAACGUACUUUUGAAUAAAAAUCUGAAUUUUUUCUAAAUUGGAGUCAUAAGACAUUCUAAUGGCAGCAGUUGACACGGUACAGUGGUGUAGUGGUUAGCACUCAAGCCUCGCAGACAGAUGCCUCUGGGUUAAACUCCACCCAGUGGUGCCUCUGUGUUAGGUGGUGUAGGCUAAGCCUGCAUGGGAUUCACUCCAUACUUGUAAAAGUAAUGGAAAAAAGUUUUUUAAAACUUCCGCAUCUGAAAAGAAUCCCCAAAUAUUUUGCAAAAAGUCAUAAAAUUCUAUCUUUAGUCAUAUGAAGGGGGACGCCGGUGAGAAACGUAGUUUUGAAUAAAAAUCAAAAAAAUUUCUAAAUUGGAGUCAUAAGACAUUCUAAUGGCAGCAGUUGACACGGUACAGUGGUGUAGUGGUUAGCACUCUCGCCUCCCAGACAGAUGCCUCGGGUUCAACUCCACCCAGUGGUGCCUCUGUGUUAGGUGGUGUAGGCUAAGCCUGCAUGGGAUCACUCCAUACUUGUAAAAGUAAUGGAAAAAAGUUUUUAAAACUUCCGCAUCUGAAAAGAAUCCCCAAAUAUUUUGCAAAAAGUCAUGAAAUUCUAUCUUUAGUCAUAUGAAGGGGGACGCCGGUGAGAAAACGUACUUUUGAAUAAAAAUCGAAUUUUUUCUGAAUUGGAGUCAUAGACAUUCUAAGGCAGGCAGUUGACACGGUACAGUGGUGUAGUGGUUAGCACUCUCGCCUCCCAGACAGAUGCCUCGGGUUCAACUCCACCCAGUGGUGCCUCUGUGUUAGGUGGUGUAGGCUAAGCCUGCAUGGGAUUCACUCCAUACUUGUAAAAGUAAUGGAAAAAAGUUUUUUAAAACUUCAGCAUCUGAAAAGAAUCCCCAAAUAUUUUGCAAAAAGUCAUGACAUUCUUUCUUUAGUCAUAUGAAGGGGGACGCCGGUGAGAAAACGUACUUUUGAAUAAAAAUCUGAAUUUUUUCUAAAUUGGAGUAAUUAGACAUUCUAAUGGCAGCAGUUGACACGGUACAGUGGUGUAGUGGUUAGCACUCUCGCCUCCCAGACAGAUGCCUCGGGUUCAACUCCACCCAGUGGAUCCUCUGUGUUAGGUGGUGUAGGCUAAGCCUGCAUGAGGUUCACUCCAUACUUGUAAAAGUAAUGGAAAAAACUUUUUUUAAACUUCCGCGUCCGAAAAGAAUCCCAAAAUAUUUUGCAAAAAGUCAUUAAAUUCUAUCUUUAGUCAUAUGAAGGUGCAGGAUGGUGAGAAAACCUACUUUUGAAUAAAAAUCCGAAUUUUUUCUAAAUUGGAGUCAUAAGACAUUCUAAUGGCAGCAGUUGACACGGUACAGUGGUGUAGUGGUUAGCACUCUCGCCUCCCAGACAGAUCCCUCGGGUUCAACUCCACCCAGUGGCGCCUCUGUGUUAGGUGGUGUAGGCUAAGCCUGCAUACUUGAAAUGAAAAAAACUUUAAGCCAUUUUUACACCACUACUCAGCAUGCGCCGGAAGUUCUAACAGAAACACGAAGUAAACCGGAAGUGCCCGGGAAACGUCUAUACCAAGCACUCCGCUCUUUCACAAUAAAGCUCAAGCUCUUCUCCACAACAACCAUCUGGAUAAUCUGCAAACUCUGGAAAACAGCUGAGCCAUGAACAACGACCAUACCUUCCCUGUAGUUCACUCCAUUAACAGACUCAUUCUUUGCGAGCUGACAGUGAGUAAUAUCAGGGUCUUUCAGCUGCAGAACCUUUUGUAUAUCGUGAUGCAAAAUAUCAACGGAGACAGUUGAAACAGCAGAGACAGUCAAGCUGGACAUUUUGGUUGUGUCCGACUCCAAGUGAUAUGCCAUCAUAAACUGAUGCUUCACCGCCAGGGAGAAGAGUAUGUUUUUAAAGCAGCGAGUGUGACGAAACAACCUGCUUAAAAAAACAAAAACAGUUUUGCCUCAAACCUCAUUGUCCACAUCCCAACCAGUGGGCCAAAAGAUCUUAUCAUCUGUGGAUAGUGUUCCACAAAAUGAUGUUUCGGCAACAGCUUGGCCCCUGGAAACACCUCUUGUAACCUGUAUCUAUGGUCACAAAUCUUGCUUUCAAGGAAAGCAACAGAUUGUGUUGUGUGCACUGGUGCAACAACUAGUUCCACAAUAUCUUUUAGGUCCAAAAUGACCUGCCAGGCUGGCUCAUCUGGAGGCACCAGCUGUCCAACCAAAAAUGGAAGCAAUCGCAAAAGGCUCCAACUCUCGUGAGCAUUUCCUCCAAUAGUUUUCUUCAGUGAGAACGCCUUGGGAAUAACAUGAGGACGGUUACUCUUGUCUGUCCACUUGUAAGAAAAUGUUUUAAUGGACUUGAGAUUUUCAAGUGUGAAAUAUUUUUUUGAAAUUAACAAGUUGAGGCACUCUGCUAACUCGACUGGUAAUAUGCCUAAAAAUGUUAUGCACAAGAUCUGGAGGGUAGCCAGUGCAGACAUUGAAAUGCAAAAGAUGUGAAGAGAAAACACACUUUCUUUUAACUCCACAACAAGGUUUUGCAUUGUCCUGUGCUGAUCUGACCUGCAUCUCAUUGUUUCGGAGAGUAAAAGCAUCUGAACUUACUUCUCUCUCCUGAAUUUCAGACUUUUGUGCCACACAAAAGCGGCACAUGUAGGCACCUGAAAAACUCAAUAAAACCAGCAAGUCCAUGUGCUCCCAAAUUGUCUGCUAUGACACACUGUAUUGUACCCUUAACACAAUCUCCAAGCUGUGCAAUAAAAAUACCCUCACUUUCCAAAAUGGCAAGAUCCCUCAACAAAGACUGUAGGACUCUUUCAUAGCCAAAUGCCAGAUAAAUCGAAGAUAACAAAUAAUGGCAACCAGGUGGUAAAUUGCUGAGAUUCCAAUAAACACCACAGAUCUUGUGCUUUUUACGAGAUGUGCCAAGUGGAUUACAAACCUCAAAAUCAUCAACAUACAAAUUCAGUAACUCGCAACUCACCUCCAGACAAAAAAGAAUUCUCCUUGAAAAACAAACCGUCUCGAAAAGACUUGUAUACCCCUUCAUCUCCUCUACCCUCUGAUGAGAUGAUUAUCUAACGAUUUGUUAAGAAUAUGACCAUCAGUGAAAAGCUCCUGCAAAAACUUUAAUAGUGGGACAUACUGCAGCGUUCUUUUAUCUUUGUCAUCCAAGAUCAAUUCUAUGGGUACCACAACUUUAUAGAAUCUUUGUAGAAUUGUCUGCAUUUAAAGGAUGUUGCCAAAGGACAACUUUUUCCAAUACUUAUACACAGGAUUAGAUGUGCACGGAGCAGACGCAAUUUCUUCAACUUGCAGAUUGUAACUAUUCAGUGUGUCAUGUAUCACAUUUCUUGUAGUACACAAAGAUCCUGUGCUCAACAAAUAUUGAAAUUCCUCCAGCAAUUCAUCAACUGCAGCAGUUGGAACAUGAAAGAUAGUUUCCAGCUUUAAUAACACUGAAGCAAUUUUUUGUUGGAUUAGAUCUGACUCAUCUUUUGAAGUAUCUAAAGCAACCUCAUCAAACUGACUUUGAGCAUGGAUUUCUUCACUGUUUGAAACACCAGGCUCUACCGUUUCAGCUAUACACGUUUCUUGUACUAAAUCAUCCUUGAAAUCCACCAAUGAAUGUAAAUGAUGCUUUUGUUUUCUGUGUGAUGUAAAGGUGCUGUAUACGUUCGAUUUGUAUUCACAGCCUUUUGUGUUCACAGCCUUUAAACAUAGAAGUUACUGUCUCAUUGUUUCUCAAAUGAUGGCUGAUGUGCAAAACAUAAUCUCGUUCUGUUCCAAGGUCAUUACAGUCACAUAAAUGGCAGGAAAAUGUAGUGAAGCGGUCACUAGAGUGCUUUACGGUAGUGCUAUGAUUUCUCGAUAAGUGUGCCAAAAGCGAAUUCCAAGUCUUAAAAGUGCAUGCACAAUCAGGAUAUACACACUUAAUAUGAAGGCCACGUCCAAAAUGACUGUUUUAGUUUGUAAUGUUUAAGAAUCUCUGAUCGCCUAGAGUAGACACUUCAGCGACACAGUCUUUACACUGCCACAUAAACUAGACAAACAACAAAGAGAAGAAAAAAAAAUAAUUAGUGAUGUUUAUACAGUCACCUGUGGUACUUAAACUCCUGCACUGUACAGCUAACAAAAGAUGCGUAAUUAAUUUAACUCAUUGUUUGGCCCAGGAAAUGUAAUAUUAAGCUGACUAAAGAGGACCAAAAUCAUUUGCACAAAAGUUGUUGAGUGCCUACAUAUGAUCAGUGGCAGAUUUACUUUGCUCUCAGCGAUAACUGCCCUAUAGAGAGCAAAAAUACCACAACAUUACAGAGUAAUGAGCAGUACUGCUGGGAUCAGCAUACCUGUGAAGAGUUUGUUAAAUGUACUUACCAAAACUUUAUGAGGUCCCCAAAGAGUUCCGCAUCACACCAACAUCAUAGAUAGAAUAAAACUGCAAAAAAAAAAAAAAAUACAAUUCAGGUUUUUAUUUUAGGAAAAAUAAGUAAUGUUCAAUAAUCAUUACUGACUUGGGUUAAGAUAAUGACUCAAAUCAGAUCAACAAAGAUAUUUUGUAUUUAAAUAGACCCUCAUAUUACUAUAGAAAUGAGCAACAAAUGGCAGAAAGGUUUCUUAAACAUUCAUUAUUCAUAUGUAAUUUGUUUUAUCUAAAAUAUAUAUGUAUAUAUAUAUA